UCGUAGUUGAAUUUCGGGGUCAGUAGGUCGGUCGUGCCACUGGUAUGCACUGGUCUCACUGAUUCCUCCUUCUUGUAGAACCGUAAUGCCAUUAAGUUGGUGUUGCGGGGAAACAGGGCUGUUACUUUGAAAAAAUUAGAGUGUUUAAAGCAAGCUAACGCUUGAAUACAUUAGCAUGGAAUAAUGAAAUAGGACGAACGAUCCUAUUUUGUUGGUUUUCUAGGAUUGACGUAAUGAUUAAUAGGGAUAUUGGGGGCAUUAGUAUUCAAUUGUCAGAGGUGAAAUUCUUGGAUUUAUUGAAGACUAACUACUGCGAAAGCAUUUGCCAAGGAUGUUUUCAUUAAUCAAGAACGAAAGUUAGGGGGAUCGAAGACGAUCAGAUACCGUCGUAGUCUUAACCAUAAACUAUGCCGACUAGGGAUCGGAUGAUGUUAAUUUUAUAAUGACUCAUUCGGCGCCUUACG
This 464-nucleotide ribosomal RNA is filed under the name uncultured Glomus. RNAcentral describes it as "SSU rRNA". It matches the Rfam family "Eukaryotic small subunit ribosomal RNA", at positions 628 to 1092 of the family's 1831-position model. The record is from RNAcentral. Lineage: Eukaryota; Fungi; Glomeromycota; Glomeromycetes; Glomerales; Glomeraceae.